Molecule: long non-coding RNA, 542 nt
Organism: Pieris brassicae (large cabbage white)
Lineage: Eukaryota; Metazoa; Arthropoda; Insecta; Lepidoptera; Pieridae
Exons: 2
Source: RefSeq, a predicted model, not a curated record
GAAAUGAGUUCGCGAUAAGGCUUUCGAUUUCGUCUGUUCACAUUUCAGUUUACGAAUGUACGGACGAGGAAUUUUCAUUUCUAUUUUUUACAUGAAAUUGAUGUUUCUUUACACAACUGAUGUUAUACAAUGCGCAGUUCCAAUCGACAUUGACACAGAGAAACCUGGGCAAACAGUACGCCCAAUAUUCAUGUUUAUCCCUUAUAAGAAACCGUUAUUAUCUAGAAAAUACCAUUUUAACCAACCAAGAUAUGAGAAGGAAGAUAUAAAUAAUAAUCAAAAAGUUAAAGCACAGGACAGCCAUUACAUUGAUGAUUCAGAUGUCCCGUUUAUAAGGGCAAAGUCAAGGCAUCGCCCGCGCAGUGUGGGGCAUGGGGCAGACAUAUAUUUAGGUCGAGCUCAGGUUGCAAAGAACGUUAUUGGUCAUUUUAUGAAUGAUGAUGUAAUGGUACCUUAAGAGGUGGCAAUAUAACAAUCGGGAGAAGACCGAGGUUUCAAUGGAGAGUAAAUUAAAAUAGGAGUUUAUUAAAUACAUAAACGAA